Seriola aureovittata is the source of this 1044-nucleotide long non-coding RNA. RefSeq lists it as uncharacterized. The transcript is spliced from 4 exons. The record is from RefSeq and is a predicted model, not a curated record. Lineage: Eukaryota; Metazoa; Chordata; Actinopteri; Carangiformes; Carangidae.
AAUAAGCCAAAAUGGCAUCUCCUUUUUUUCAGGGGUAUAGUUGUCGGUUGUCGGUCAGGACCGGAGGGUUUCUUUUACUCAGUACACUUUCAGUCCUUAUCAGCUUCUCGCUCAGUGCUGAGAGCUGACCUUCAGACAUUAUCUUUCCCCACUCUGUUCUCAUCAAAGGGAGAAAUGAUAAGAACUGACUGUGCAGUGAUAGAAACCUUCCACUGCGAGUCCCUCUCCAUGUGCUCGCCUCUCACAGCCCGCAGACUGGCCGGCUCUGUUCUGGGGACUCCCCCAGCAAGAGAUUUACUGCAUCACUGGUCAUCAUGGGAGUAAUGGGAGGAAGGGAGCGGGGAGGGCAUCAUUCAUAGCACCAGAUCAAAAAUGAGACACGACCUUGAGGUCAAACACACAGGGAGACAGACAAGGUUCAGCAGACUGAGUUCCUUCAAAAGCGACAUCAACAAAACAAAAGACAACAACAGAAGACAAUUAUUUAUUAAUACCUACUUAUCAGCUGCCGCAUACAUUCCUGCAGCAUCGACAUAACAUGGUGUUGGAGAAAAUUAAAUCACAACAGGUCAGAGAGAGGAGGAUAGAGUCUGUCCCAGUGUCUUCAACUGGCGGCCCAUGGGACACAUGUGGUCAGCAACCAGAGCCACUCGGUCCAGGGAUAAUGCCAGACUGAUUUUAUUGAUCGCUACUUUUAAUCACUUUUAAGAAGAUUGAAUUAAGUGAAAAGAUAUUUUCAUGUCGUACAUUACCGAUGAAACGAAAUUCAUCAAUGAUCUUGUAACAAUCUCACCAUGAGAAAAUUGUGCCAUGGAUGGCAGCCAGUGUUUAGCUCCUGUUCUUUGUGUCUUUCACCAAAACACAUGUUUUGUAUGCUUGCAUGCUUGGGUAAUAAAAACAGACUCUGAUAAGAAUAAAUCAGUUGGUGGAAUUUGCCCAGGAGUCAAGGAUGCAGAUGUUAAGAUUUCCUUGUUUUUUUUUACUUUAUCACUUUACGGAUUAAAGAUGGUUUGAUUAAUCGCUGAGUUCUUAAUUUCAUUCUUG